Molecule: ribosomal RNA, 494 nt
Filed under: uncultured bacterium
Lineage: Bacteria
Description: partial 16S ribosomal RNA
Rfam family: Bacterial small subunit ribosomal RNA
Source: RNAcentral
GAUGAACGCUGGCGGCGUGCUUAACACAUGCAAGUCGAACGAGGUCCAACCUUCGGGUGAAGACCUAGUGGCGAACGGGUGAGUAACACGUGGGGAACCUGCCCUUCUCUCUGGGAUAACGUCGAGAAAUCGGUGCUAAUACCGGAUACUCCUUGCGGAUCGCAUGGUCUGCUCGGGAAAGCUCCGGCGGAGAUGGAUGGCCCCGCGGCCCAUUAGCUAGGUGGUGAGGUAACGGCCCACCAAGGCGACGAUGGGUAGCCGAGCUGAGAGGCUGAUCGGGCACACUGGGACUGAGAUACGGCCCAGACUCCUACGGGAGGCAGCAGUGGGGAAUAUUGCACAAUGGACGAAAGUCUGAUGCAGCGACGCCGCGUGAGGGAUGAAGGCCUUCGGGUUGUAAACCUUUUUCGCUUUUGACCAAGGCAGCAUUUUGGUGUUGUUGAGGGUAUGAGGUAAAGAAGCUCCGGCUAACUACGUGCCAGCCGCCGCAGUAA